This 164-nucleotide ribosomal RNA is filed under the name Coursetia mollis. Its description in RNAcentral is "5.8S ribosomal RNA". It matches the Rfam family "5.8S ribosomal RNA". Rfam says of the family: 5.8S ribosomal RNA (5.8S rRNA) is a component of the large subunit of the eukaryotic ribosome. It is transcribed by RNA polymerase I as part of the 45S precursor that also contains 18S and 28S rRNA. The record is from RNAcentral. Lineage: Eukaryota; Viridiplantae; Streptophyta; Magnoliopsida; Fabales; Fabaceae.
UACAAUGACUCUCGGCAACGGAUAUCUCGGCUCUUGCAUCGAUGAAGAACGUAGCGAAAUGCGAUACUUGGUGUGAAUUGCAGAAUCCCGUGAACCAUCGAGUCUUUGAACGCAAGUUGCGCCCGAAGCCACUAGGCCGAGGGCACGUCUGCCUGGGUGUCACA